CCUCACGGAAUACUAACGGCGCUCGUGUUUUGAGUUUGGAGGGCAUCUUUUAUGCUAGAUGCCAUCUCUUGCCUCCAGUCCUCGCGCCCGUGAAGCAGGUUAAUAAAACUUGGUUUUCGAGCGUUUGGUGCCCCAGGAGGGCGAUCGGCCCCAUGGCCAACGCAUCGAGCGCCUGACGUGUGGCCUCGGAGGUCUUGGCCCGUCCGUUCCAGAAGCUCCCGGCGUCUCGUAAAGGCCGACAGCACCGCCGGGCAGCUCUCUGCAGCCCUGCCUCCCGCGCCGGUCUCCUCUCCCCCACAUGCUCGCUGCCGUGAAAUAAAAAGUCUGCAAUAAAAUGAGGCAGAAAUGUGUCGAUGCUGCAUUUUAGAACAUUCCAGCAAAAGGGCUGCGGGAAAUGCCUUCGUUUACGUUCAGGAGGGAAGCUCCGUGAGAGUAAGCGGUAAAAUAGC
Molecule: long non-coding RNA, 449 nt
Organism: Lemur catta (Ring-tailed lemur)
Lineage: Eukaryota; Metazoa; Chordata; Mammalia; Primates; Lemuridae
Exons: 3
Source: RefSeq, a predicted model, not a curated record